This 492-nucleotide ribosomal RNA is filed under the name uncultured bacterium. RNAcentral describes it as "partial 16S ribosomal RNA". It matches the Rfam family "Bacterial small subunit ribosomal RNA", at positions 29 to 507 of the family's 1533-position model. The record is from RNAcentral.
AGUGAACGCUGGCGGUAGGCCUAACACAUGCAAGUCGAACGGCAGCACAGUAAGAGCUUGCUCUUACGGGUGGCGAGUGGCGGACGGGUGAGGAAUACAUCGGAAUCUACUUUUUCGUGGGGGAUAACGUAGGGAAACUUACGCUAAUACCGCAUACGACCUACGGGUGAAAGCAGGGGAUCUUCGGACCUUGCGCGAUUGAAUGAGCCGAUGUCGGAUUAGCUAGUUGGCGGGGUAAAGGCCCACCAAGGCGACGAUCCGUAGCUGGUCUGAGAGGAUGAUCAGCGACACUGGAACUGAGGCACGGUCCAGACGCCUAAGGGAGGCAGCAGUGGGGAAUAUUGGACAAUGGGCGCAAGCCUGAUCCAGCCAUACCGCGUGGGCGAAGAAGGCCUUCGGGUUGUAAAGCCCUUUUGUUGGGAAAGAAAAGCAGCAGGUUAAUACCCCGCUGUUCUGACGGUACCCAAAGAAUAAGCACCGGCUAACUUCGUG